This 549-nucleotide ribosomal RNA is filed under the name uncultured Glomus. RNAcentral's name for it is "SSU rRNA". It matches the Rfam family "Eukaryotic small subunit ribosomal RNA", at positions 548 to 1098 of the family's 1831-position model. The record is from RNAcentral. Lineage: Eukaryota; Fungi; Glomeromycota; Glomeromycetes; Glomerales; Glomeraceae.
UUGGAGGGCAAGUCUGGUGCCAGCAGCCGCGGUAAUUCCAGCUCCAAUAGCGUAUAUUAAAGUUGUUGCAGUUAAAAAGCUCGUAGUUGAAUUUCGGGGUUAGUAGGCUGGUCGUGCCACAGGUAUGCACUGGUCUUACUGAUUCCUCCUUCCUGAUGAACCGUAAUGCCAUUAAUUUGGUGUUGCGGGGAGUCUGGACUGUUACUUUGAAAAAAUUAGAGUGUUUAAAGCAGGCUAACGCUUGAAUACAUUAGCAUGGAAUAACGAAAUAGGACGUUCGAUCCUAUUUUGUUGGUUUCUAGGAUUGCCGUAAUGAUUAAUAGGGAUAGUUGGGGGCAUUAGUAUUCAAUUGUCAGAGGUGAAAUUCUUGGAUUUAUUGAAGACUAACUACUGCGAAAGCAUUUGCCAAGGAUGUUUUCAUUAAUCAAGAACGAAAGUUAGGGGAUCGAAGACGAUCAGAUACCGUCGUAGUCUUAACCAUAAACUAUGCCGACUAGGGAUCGGAUGAUGUUAAUUUUUUAAUGACUCAUUCGGCGCCUUACGGGAAAC